This 497-nucleotide ribosomal RNA is filed under the name uncultured bacterium. Its description in RNAcentral is "partial 16S ribosomal RNA". It matches the Rfam family "Bacterial small subunit ribosomal RNA", at positions 28 to 507 of the family's 1533-position model. The record is from RNAcentral.
GAUGAACGCUGGCGGCGUGCCUAAUACAUGCAAGUCGAGCGAACGGACGAGAAGCUUGCUUCUCUGAUGUUAGCGGCGGACGGGUGAGUAACACGUGGAUAACCUACCUAUAAGACUGGGAUAACUUCGGGAAACCGUAGAUAAUACCGGAUAAUAUUUUGAACCGCAUGGUUCAAAAGUGAAAGACGGUCUUGCUGUCACUUAUAGAUGGUUCCGCGCUGCCUUAUCUAGUUGGUAAGGUAACGGCUUACCAAGGCAACGAUGCAUAGCCGACCUGAGAGGGUGAUCGGCCACACUGGAACUGAGACACGGUCCAGACUCCUACGGGAGGCAGCAGUAGGGAAUCUUCCGCAAUGGGCGAAAGCCUGACGGAGCAACGCCGCGUGAGUGAUGAAGGUCUUCGGAUCGUAAAGCUCUGUUAUUAGGGAAGAACAUAUGUGUAAGUAACUGUGCACAUCUUGACGGUACCUAAUCAGAAAGCCACGGCUAACUACGUG